Molecule: long non-coding RNA, 1932 nt
Filed under: Equus asinus (donkey)
Lineage: Eukaryota; Metazoa; Chordata; Mammalia; Perissodactyla; Equidae
Description: lncRNA (ENSEASG00005038244.1)
Source: RNAcentral
CACCGGGCCAGCCCCUAUAAAUAGUUAUUUUUGAAUGCCACUGAGGUUUUGUGGGGUUUUGUUAUGCAGCAUUGCUGUCACGAUAGAUAACUGAUACGUGACGGUAGUACCUAUCACGUAAGUAUCAAUGUAACUGAGAAAAUACACGUAAAUCACUUAGUACAGUACCUAACGAUAACAAUAACAAUAACAACGAUAAUAUGUGCUGCUGUUUGGGAGAAACCAUUACGGAAUAUGCAAAGGUACUGGCAGUUGAUCCUGAAUAAGACCUGUCUUACUGAAAUUUUUUUACAAAAUCAUGCAAUUUUACUUCCAGUUUUUGUAAAGAACCAAGCUGAUGGUCUAAUUGUAUUUUUUAAGCUUGUAAGUAUCCUGGGAUCUGUUCUCAUAAGCAAAACAGUUCCUUUCCUUCUAGAAGAUUUACUUUGUUAAAAUUUUUAAAAAGACAAAACAAAGAAACCACACACACACAGAAUAGAGAAAGACAUUCAAAUUCAUGACCACUGAGAGAGGCCAAAAGCUUGCCUCCAGAAUAAACCCAAGUUAUGGGCUGGUUCCAGUGCAGGGCUGGGCGGGGAACAACCACCACCAUCCUUUCUGCUCUUUUCCUAUUUGGGUAAUCUUCUUGAAAUAAUUUAGUAGGGUAGUUAAGAAAUGUGAGCUCUAGAGUUUAAACUCUGGUGCUGCAGGGACCUUGGAGUAGCGGCAGGGCUUUUACAGCUGUGCCGGCACACGAUACACAGUCAGGAGAAGUAGCUCUUCCCACUUGUUACAGCGAACGAGUCUGGGUGCGGCCAGCUCCACUUCUAUCUGGGCUGGAUCGUGGAGAUGACCACUCUCUGAGCAAGGUGAGCUGGCAGGCCUUGAUUCAAAACAGCCCAUCAGUACUGAGCUGCCUCUAGGCAUCCGAAGUCUAGAUCGAAACCUGAAUCUCAGAUUUUACACCCCAGUGUGAAGAAAAGCCACACUCAGGAGAGAGAAGAAACAGGGUUGGACAAAUCCAAGAGGGAUGUUUCUCAGCUGUUCUCAAGCCACCUUACCUAGCUUCUUAUGAGAGCCCAGGUACAUAGUUCUGCCCAGUAGCACAGAGACAUAUGAAAUGCUUUCACCUAACCAACCAGCAUUGUGAACAGAGAAGUGACUCUCCCUCCAUUCGUCGUUCGUUAUUUCUCCUAUUAAUCCAGUGAAAUUAAUUAUCAGAGCCAUAGUCUACUCCAAAUGUUGCUGUCCUCCUCAGAAAAGGAGUUCAGGUAAGAAGCCAAAAAGAUCUUACCCUCUCCUUCAUGGAACCAAUUCCUCAAUCCUUACCUCUCUUGCUCCAUAUCUUCCUGGUGUAGAGAGAUAGCUACUGCAUCCCCUCAGAGCCUUUAUGAAUGGCUCUCUCUUGUGGCCCCCAGAAACCAAGGAAAUGGGUCAGGACAUUCAUUACAUUGGCCCCAACGCCACAGUCAGUUCCAAUCCUCUUCCUCAUCUUAGAUCCUGCUCAGCUAUGCUACCAAACAGGGUGAACAAUGAGCCCCAGAGGAAAAGAUGGCCUGAAUAAUAUGCCAGCACUAUAAAAUUCCUGAAAUUUACCACUACCUUAUAAAAGUUAAUACAAACUUUCUCCCAUUAUCAAUUCAAACUGUUGCUUCCACAGAGAAAUUUCAGUCCAAAAUUCUGCCUUACCCUAUUUCCUUUUACUGACUCAGUUCCAGGCAGAAGACGAUGGUAUUCAGGCCUUUGGGUAGAAUCUGGGAUCCUUCACUGGCAGCUGCGCCCUGGGCCAUCUGCCAAUAUAAUUGGAGUAGAGGCUUUGCAUCUUCAAAGUUUGACUAUUUCAACCCUAAGAAUCUCUUUUCCCUCUUUUCUACAAUACCUAAGGGUCAACAGAACACAGAAUGUCAUAGCACCAGCCUUGUUCUCACAAAAUUCAGAAGCACAAAGAAAUUC